Molecule: unclassified non-coding RNA, 310 nt
Filed under: Hevea brasiliensis (rubber tree)
Lineage: Eukaryota; Viridiplantae; Streptophyta; Magnoliopsida; Malpighiales; Euphorbiaceae
Source: RNAcentral
UAAACAAACUUUGACAUAUUGUCAUCAUGGUCUUCUUGUUUUAAUUAAUGAUCAUGCAUUUUCCAUGUGAUUAUUUGCUACUAAAUGUUGGUACUUGGUAACAAGCCUGGCAUGAGGUGAUUUUGGAUUAGAUUUCAUAAAAUUUGAAAUUUCGGUCUCCAUAAAAUGUAGAAAACCUCCCUUACCAUCUUCAUUUUAGGAUUUUUGGUAACAUUAAAAUUAAAAUUAGUGAGUUAAGUGUCUUUUCAAUUAUAAAGUAGUGGAACUUCAAGAACUUAGAUGUGCUAAUCCUCCAAGUAGACCUGCAAGA